CAGUGAGCCCAGAUUACAACACUGCACUCCAGUCUGGGCAACAGAGUGAGACUCCGUCUCAAAAAAAAUAAUUUGCACGGUGAGUAAGAGGAUGGAGGUCAGGCUCUGGGUCGGGGAUGGUGUAAUUGCAGCUGGAGGCUGGAAACACUGGCUGCUUCCUGGGGACCAUGUUUUGCUUGCUGCUCUAUCUCCAGUGUCCUGUCCAGAACAGUGCCUGGGGAAUGAAUGGUGGGUUGAGUCUUGGCAUUUUGUUGGAGGGAUAAGAAGGAAGGAACCAAGAAAGGAAGACACUGAGAGGUAAUUUGUGUGCCAUUUUCAUGGGACACUUGGGAGCCAGAUUAGAAGAAGCCAAGACUGGAAUCAGGGAGAUGAGUUGAAAGAGGGAGGUCGUGAGAGGUCUGAAGGAAGGUUGGAAAAGGUGGGACAGAUUUCAGACACAUUUAGGGGUGGAACUGGUUGGACUCAGGGUGGUUGGAUACGGGGAGUUUAAAGAGGAAGGAAUGCGGGGUGAAUUAGGUGGUGAGUCAGUGGGUAUUGGUGACUGAAAUCACCACUGCUGGAAAUACAGUAGACAACAAAAGUUGCUAAAGGGAGGAUGAUUUACUUUGUUAUGUUUAGAAUUUGAAGCUGCUGUGAGACACGGCGGUGAGGAUGUGCAGUGAGUCACUGGACCUAUGUGAUUCUGCCCUAAGAAUGUAUAUUUGAGCUUUAUCAUUAGAAAGGAUGGACUUGCAGAGCAAGACUGUGUAAAACUUGGAAGUGCCUGGGACAGAGGCUGUGGGACACACAGUGUGGAAUGGGCAGGGGUGGAGGCUGUUUGAAGAUUUCGAGGGAGCACUCUCACAGUGAGAGGACAGUCGGGGAAAGUGCUGUCCCGUUGGAGGAGAGCGUUCAGUAGGAGAGUGGCUGACUGCCACUAACUGCAGGGCAGGCAAGCUCAAGGCCCAGCCUGUGGCUGUGGGAAUGUCAGGAGCUGAGAAGAAAAAGUCUCCAGUGGCACUCAAGCAGGAAAUGUGGUAGAGAUUUGGAGGCUUGACUUUUCAGAACUUGACUGAGAAGUGAAGGAUAGAGAGAGGGGUUCUGAUAUGCAGCAGGCACGUUGCUGUCACCCCCCUUCACAAAGGGAAGAGAAGCAAAGCCAUGGACGCUGACCUGGACUUCACCAGUUCCCCGCUAUGGUUGAGCUGCCGUCGAGAGUGUGGAUUUGCAAAUAAAGAUGUUUUUUAGCCCAAGGUUUUCUAGGCCUAUUCUUUCUCUGUUAGUUUCCUUGCUGUGUAACAAAUCACCAGAAAUGUAGCAGCUUAAGACAACACAUAUUGACUCUAUCACAGUUUCUGUGGGGCAUAAGUCGGAGCAUGGCUUGACUGGGUCCUGUGCUUCCCAGUCUCUGACGAGGCUGCAGUCAACGUACUGCCCUGGCUGGGGUCUCAUCUGAAGACUUGCCUGGGGAGGAUCCCCUUCCAGGUUCCCUCGCAGAACCUGGGUGUUGGAAGGAUUCUGUUUCUUUCAAGUUACAGGACUGAGGGCCACAGUUCCUUCCUUGCUGGCUGCUGACUGGAGUCUGCCCCGAGAUCUGUGUCAUGUGGCUUCUUCUAGCAUGGUAGUUACUACAUCAGAGUCAGCCAGAGAGAGACAACGUCCAAGGGGAAGUCACUGUCUCAUGCUGCCUUAGCACAGAGGUGACGUCACCUGUGCACGAUUCCGUUGAUUAUCAGCAAGUCACAGGCCCCACCUGCACUUAGAAGAGGAGAUUACAUAAGAGUAUGGGUACCAGGAGGCGGGAAUUAUUGGGUGGGUGAGAAUCUUAGACCUGCCUGCCUCAGAGCAGGACUCCAUGGUACAUCUCCUAAUUGUGAAACUUUUGCAGCAUGCCUUCAGCACGUUGGGGCCAUGGUGGAAGGGAGCGAUUUGCUUCACUGCCAGAUGAGAUUUUCACAGUGAAGGUGAGAUGUGAACUGGUUUUUGAAGUGGUAGCUCCGGAAUUGCCACACAUAAAAGGCGGUUAGGGUAACAGUCUGGUUGGAAGCAGGGUGCAUCACAAACGCAGCGUACUUGGGGUAGCUUGAGCAGUUGAGCUGAAGCCUUGUCAAGCUGUGCCUUGAGAGUGACCUUGCUCUGAAGGAUGCAAAGACUUAGUUCCAUAAAGAAGAGACAAGGACACAGGAUGAAGUGGAUCAUUCUAGGCGGAAGGAACAGCAGGGGCAGAGAUGCUGGAACUUGGCAAAGCUUGAUGUAUUUCGGGGGGAAGAUGAGUAGUUUCCUGAGGAUGGAUUUUAAGGCACGUAAAAAGCCAGGAGGCACAAUAAAGCUGGGAGGGUGGCAUAGGGGCAGGCCAUGCACUUAGAGGAGAUGGAGCCUGGUCCUAAGGGCAGAUGGGCUUUGUUGGCCCUCAGAGGAGAUAGAGCCCAGUCCUCAGGGCAGAAAGACUUUUGGGGCCUUGAGAAGAUGGAAGUCCUGUCCUGAGGGCAGGAGGGCUGUGUUCCUCAGAGGAGAUGGAGCCUGGCUGUGGACGGGAAAGCUUUGUCCUGCUCUGACUUUUGGGACUAAUCCUACUCAUAUAUGAUUUGACAAUUUCAGAGACUUGCACUAUUUGACAGAUGGUAUUUUAAAAAGUUUUCAAAUUGGAAGUGAUUAAUUUUGAACUCUGUUUUUCUUGGUAUAUUUGUGUUUUGCCCUUAACAUGAUCCUUUGUUAAACACUUUUUGCAAAACAUUUAGGAGCAAGACUGUCCUUUCCACUUAUGAAGUAUUACUCUCUGUUCAGAGGGGUGCUUUGAAUGAAACCGAUAAGUAGGUGUUUUCAGAAUGACUUUUCCUGUUUGCCUUCUUCAUAUCACAGUUCUGAGAAUGACUGUAUUUUUUGAUCCAUGUGUAGGCACGUUUGCCCUUCUCAGCUGGGGCUGCUGCUUGGGUAAGACUCUUUUCUGCCCUCUCAGUUGUUUAUUGCUUCAAUUUUUCUCCCUUUUCCUCACGUUGUGCCCCUUACACUUUCUUUCUACUUAAUGUAUCUUCUUCUUCUUCUUGACUCCUUGUUACUUUGAGAAUGUCAGUGAACAAUGAUCUGUGUGGAGUGCUGUGGGAUGAUAGACUGGUGAAGCAGGCAGGGGAUGAGGAGGCAAGUGAGGAAACCCAGAGCCCCCCUGCCUUGCAGAGGCUGCACCUGGACUGGGGCAAUGAGUUGAGACAUCAGUAUUUGGAUUUCAUGGGUCUGAGAGAUGGCCGGGGGGCAGGGUCUAUUGAGGGCUGAUAAACAGAAGAGGAUGGUUGGAAACACGGAUUACAAGCCUAGGAGUCAGAAGCUCCAGGUGCCCAUCUCUGCCAGGGCCUUCAGUAGGUAUAGGGUGAGGCACUUCUACUUUCCCUGAUAAUCAGUUUCCUGGUCUGUGAGAUAAUGGAAAUAACUAUCCAUUCUACCAGUGGACAGGCCCAUUGUGAAGGUAAAAUAAGAUAGGAUGAUAUAAAGGCCCCUUGUAAGGGAUGAAGUCCAAUGUGUAGAAUAAAGCUGCCCCACACCCUUAGGUUGCAGUGUGGCCUAGUUGGUCAUAUUGGGCUAUCUCAUAGGCUCGUGUGGUCCAUCUGCAUGGAGGACUGGUUCUACCUGAGGAUAAGUAACGUGAAAGAUGAUUUCAAUACUAAAAUAAUCACAGACAUAUACACAUUGUCUUGUGCAAUAGAAUGACCUUUAUUUUAAAGAUAAAACAUGACACAGACAAGCUGCCGUUAUCUCUCUGUGCUCUUCCUGGGUUACUUAUUUACACACUUUUGUCUAUUAGACCAUUUCAGUCACAAACCUUGAGAGCUGUUGGUACAGUCAGAAGCUUUAAAUCUCUUUGGGCCUCAGGUUCCUCCUCUCUCCUGUAGAAACCAAAUGCUAGGUUUUGGUGAGAAUUAAAUGAGGGAACAUCCGGCACAGGUGAUGGCUAAGUUCCUCUUCCUACUGUGAUGAUAGUAAGUGAUGAUGGAUAGUCCCUCCUGUAGUUUGGAAGGAGGAGGUUAAUUCUGGGUGGAAGUUGGUCAGCAGAAGUUCCAGAAAGUAAGGAAACUUGGCUACGAAAGAGGGAUGAAAUUUUGAUAGUGGACAAGAGGCCGUUUCAGAUGGAGAGAAAGCCCAGAUAUGGCUGGAGAGGCAGGCAGGGGUGAGGCGGCAGCAGCAGCUGGGCCAUGGGGAAGUGUGACAUGGGGACUGGGCAGGGCCAGCAGGGAAGUCCCUGAGUUACUUGUGCCGAGCAGGGAUUUGGACAUCAGCUUUUGAAAAGGCAGGACUUUAGAAAGGUGUGUGUGGUGGUGGGGUGCAGUGUUCAUAUGGUAACAAUUUCCUGGUGUGCUGAUGCUCAUGGUUCCCCCACCCCUCAGCAGGUAUCUAGGAAGAUCAUCUUGGGCAUAAAGUGACCUACCUCCGCCCUCCCCUUUGUCAGAAGCUCUUGCUCCUGGCUCUCAGGGUUGGGUUUUCUGCUGCUGCUGCUGCUGCUGACUUUACCCUGCAGUUGGUUGAAGGGUUUCCAGUUAGUCUCUGGAGGGUGACUGUGCAGGACCUGGUCUCACCUGAGCUUGGGGCCUUGCUCCAGGGGCCUUGUUGUGGAGGUCAUGAUGUUUCUGGGGUUGUGGAUCUCAUGACACGUGGCAGAACUUCGUGGAAGGAUGCUGGAGUUACAGCAUUUGCUCUUACCCACAUGUUGCUCUUUUCCUCCUUGAUUUGGAGAUCCUUAAUUAUGUUAUCUUUUUACAACCGAUGCUGGCUUUGAUUUCUGUACAUUGGAUGAAAGUGAAACCUUCAAAAAGCUUAAAAUGAGUUAGCUUUUUCCUGUUCGCCCCCUUCUUUAUUGGUGAUUUACAGGUUCAUGAUCUAUAAUAUUCAGUUUAAAGUUUUAUGUUUGGCAUCUGUAUUAGUUUGUUCUCAUGCUGCUAAUAAAGAUUUACCUGAGACUGGGUAAUUUAUAAAGAAAAAGAGGUUUGAUGGACUCACAUUUCCACAUGGCUGGGUGGCCUCACAGUAAUGGUGGAAGGCGGAAGACACGUCUUACAUGGCAGCAGGCCAGAGAAGAAAUGACAGCAGGGGAAAUGCCUGAUGCUUAUAAAACCAUCAGAUCUUAUGAAAACUCACUGUCAUGAGAGCAGUAUGGGAGAAACCAUCCCCAUGAUUCAGUUUUCUCCACCUGGCCCCGCCAAUAACACAUGGGAUUAUUACAGUUCAAGGUGAAAUUUGGGUGGGGAUGCAGAGCCAGACCGUGUCAGUGUCACUUGACCAAACUGGGUUUACAAUGCCAGGAUCCUUGAGGGUCUGAGGUCACAUUUGCUGUGUCUUCAGGCAAAGGCCUAAUGAUUUGAAAUCAGAUUGUUCCCUAGCUGUGGCCUUAGGAUCAACAUUCAUAGAAGAGUUUCCAAUAAAUUAUUAUUUGACUGUCAAAAGUAUCUUUUUCAGGCUGGGUACAGUGGCUCACACCCAUAAUGCCAGCACUUUGGGAGGUG
Long non-coding RNA from Sapajus apella (tufted capuchin), 5465 nucleotides. RefSeq lists it as uncharacterized. The record is from RefSeq and is a predicted model, not a curated record. The transcript is spliced from 3 exons. Lineage: Eukaryota; Metazoa; Chordata; Mammalia; Primates; Cebidae.